This is a long non-coding RNA of Schistocerca americana (American grasshopper), 233 nucleotides long. RefSeq lists it as uncharacterized. The record is from RefSeq and is a predicted model, not a curated record. Lineage: Eukaryota; Metazoa; Arthropoda; Insecta; Orthoptera; Acrididae. The transcript is spliced from 4 exons.
CGAAGUUUAACUGGUGGCAGCUGCUAAGGGCAGCGGAGCGAGGCCGGAGCACGCCGCCCGUCCCAGCCCAGCCACGUGACCGGCGACCGAGGGGUAUUCUGGGAGCGCCGCCCACACCACAGAAGAGACGCACCGUCCCUGCAUGGGUCGUCACGGCGCGUGAGGAUUAUCUGCUAAGACGCUGCGGCGAUGUGGCAGUGCUGGCGGCGGGUGCGGGCGGCGGCGGAGGGGGC